GGGGAAUUUUGGACAAUGGGCGCAAGCCUGAUCCAGCCAUGCCGCGUGUCUGAAGAAGGCCUUCGGGUUGUAAAGGACUUUUGUCAGGGAAGAAAAGGCUGUUGCUAAUACCGACAGCUGAUGACGGUACCUGAAGAAUAAGCACCGGCUAACUACGUGCCAGCAGCCGCGGUAAUACGUAGGGUGCGAGCGUUAAUCGGAAUUACUGGGCGUAAAGCGAGCGCAGACGGUUGCUUAAGCAGGAUGUGAAAUCCCCGGGCUCAACCUGGGAACUGCGUUCUGAACUGGGUGACUAGAGUGUGUCAGAGGGAGGUAGAAUUCCACGUGUAGCAGUGAAAUGCGUAGAGAUGUGGAGGAAUACCGAUGGCGAAGGCAGCCUCCUGGGAUAACACUGACGUUCAUGCUCGAAAGCGUGGGUAGCAAACAGGAUUAGAUACCCUGGUAGUCCACGCCCUAAACGAUGUCAAUUAGCUGUUGGGCAACUUGAUUGCUUAGUAGCGUAGCUAACGCGUGAAAUUGACCGCCUGGGGAGUACGGUCGCAAGAUUA
RNAcentral lists this ribosomal RNA (548 nucleotides) under uncultured bacterium. Its description in RNAcentral is "bacterial SSU rRNA". It matches the Rfam family "Bacterial small subunit ribosomal RNA", at positions 356 to 896 of the family's 1533-position model. The record is from RNAcentral.